Molecule: transfer RNA, 84 nt
Filed under: Rhodococcus phage Peregrin
Lineage: Duplodnaviria; Heunggongvirae; Uroviricota; Caudoviricetes
Description: tRNA-Tyr
Rfam family: tRNA
About the family: Transfer RNA (tRNA) molecules are approximately 80 nucleotides in length. Their secondary structure includes four short double-helical elements and three loops (D, anti-codon, and T loops).
Source: RNAcentral
UGGGGUGUUGGGCAAAUGGCUGGCCCGCCUGGUUGUAGCCCAGGUUCUUUCGAGACGUGCAGGUUCAAGUCCUGUCACCCCAAC